Molecule: ribosomal RNA, 468 nt
Filed under: uncultured bacterium
Lineage: Bacteria
Description: partial 16S ribosomal RNA
Rfam family: Bacterial small subunit ribosomal RNA
Source: RNAcentral
GACGAACGCUGGCGGCGUGCUUAACACAUGCAAGUCGAACGGAAAGGCCCUGCUUUUGUGGGGUGCUCGAGUGGCGAACGGGUGAGUAACACGUGAGUAACCUGCCCUUGACUUUGGGAUAACUUCAGGAAACUGGGGCUAAUACCGGAUAGGAGCUCCUGCUGCAUGGUGGGUGUUGGAAAGUUUCGGCGGUUGGGGAUGGACUCGCGGCUUAUCAGCUUGUUGGUGGGGUAGUGGCUUACCAAGGCUUUGACGGGUAGCCGGCCUGAGAGGGUGACCGGCCACAUUGGGACUGAGGUACGGCCCAGACUCCUACGGGAGGCAGCAGUGGGGAAUAUUGCACAAUGGGCGGAAGCCUGAUGCAGCAACGCCGCGUGCGGGAUGACGGCCUUCGGGUUGUAAACCGCUUUCGCCUGUGACGAAGCGUGAGUGACGGUAAUGGGUAAAGAAGCACCGGCUAACUACGUG